UGUCGUUCUCAGGGCGGGGUGUAAUUCCCCACCGGCGGUGAAAGCCCGCGAGCGCCGUUCUCCGGAACGGGUCAGCAGACACCGGUGAAAUUCCGGGGCCGACGGUUAUAGUCCGGAUGAAAGAGAAAGCAG
This 132-nucleotide non-coding RNA is filed under the name Roseibium suaedae. RNAcentral's name for it is "Labrenzia suaedae FMN sequence". It matches the Rfam family "FMN riboswitch aptamer (RFN element)". From Rfam's summary of the family: The RFN element is a highly conserved domain that is found frequently in the 5'-untranslated regions of prokaryotic mRNAs that encode for flavin mononucleotide (FMN) biosynthesis and transport proteins. This element is a metabolite-dependent riboswitch that directly binds FMN in the absence of proteins. Lineage: Bacteria; Pseudomonadati; Pseudomonadota; Alphaproteobacteria; Hyphomicrobiales; Stappiaceae. The record is from Rfam by way of RNAcentral.